CCCUUAUCGUUCAGUUUAAAUUAUUUUGGAGGCAUCCCGAUUAUAUGUAUACACAAUCUCGGGCAUCCAAUAGCAGGAAGCAGCAGAGGGCUGAUGCUGCUCACCCUCUCAGUGAUAUUUGGCAUCUUCUACGUGGAUGCUUCUCAAUCAAGAUCAAAUAUAUUCGUCAUAAAAUUAAUAGUAUGAUUGACUGGAUGGUCUCCU
This 204-nucleotide long non-coding RNA is filed under the name Elaeis guineensis (African oil palm). Its description in RNAcentral is "long non-coding RNA (EGUI_LNC005246)". Lineage: Eukaryota; Viridiplantae; Streptophyta; Magnoliopsida; Arecales; Arecaceae. The record is from RNAcentral.